AACGGAGUCUCCAGUUCCUAGAACAUGAGGAGUUUUGUCACUGGGGGAAAGGCAUGAAACUGACAUGAAAUUGGGGGCGUGGGAGGUGGCGGUAGGGGCCGACUACCUGGUUUUUCUCUUUCUGUCAGGAACUGAAAGCUGCUUGCACAGUUCAAGUUCUGCUCUAAGGACCAAGCUAUGGUUUAGUUUAAUUCAGUGAUGCUGUCACCGCUGCUGUAACUACGGGACCAGGUAGCUGGGCCACUCAGUUGCCACUUGCUUCUGUCCUUCAAGGAAAUAACAUUUCUCAUCAGAGCCCAGGAGAUUAUUUGAGACUCAGGAUUCAGAUCAGAGCUUCGGCUGUGGCUGGGACAAGACCAGUGUGUAGAAAUUUCCCAGGGGGCCUGGGCACAGAGGGACCUCCAGUCCUGCGCUGAGCAGCCUCUCCCACUGACCUCUUUCUCAUUUGUGGAUGAAGCCGCACGUGUUAGCCCCGUUCAUCACCUGGACACAUCGACUCCGCAUUGUCUGGUCACUUGACCCUCACAGUCUUAUAGCACAAUAUACCCAACUUCUUCACCCCCAGUCUGAGGGCUGGGCCCAAGGUGUGGUCAGAGGAGGAGCUCCUGCCUGCAGUUUUGUGUACGUGUGUAUGUGUGUGCGUGUUUGUGUGUGUGUUUACCUCCACGGGGGACACUCUACACUCAGUGUAAGAUACGCUGGGAACAGGGCCACCGGGGUGGCUGGAUCUCAGUCUCUCUGUCUCUCUCUCUCUUCUUUUCCUUUUGAUGUAUCAAACACUUGGUUGACAAAGUAAGGGCCUUGAUUAGGACCAAAUUUCCGUGUCUGUUGCUACGGUCUUUAUUUAGGACAACAGUUAACAAUGCUGUGGCCCAUUCUUGUCACUCUAUACAUAUGACGAUACAGGACAUAUGUAAUAUAUAAAUAUAUAUAUAAGACAUGACCCUCUGUCUUCCUGGCUUAGGAUGAGAUCUCUCUGUUGAGCCGAAAUGCACCUGCAGCUCAGUGCUGCCAGCAACCUGCAGGCUCCAGCCCUGUUCUAAUUAACGCAGUCGAUAAUAAAGGAAUGAGUAUCGUUAC
RNAcentral lists this long non-coding RNA (1080 nucleotides) under Phocoena sinus (vaquita). RNAcentral describes it as "lncRNA (ENSPSNG00000008450.1)". Lineage: Eukaryota; Metazoa; Chordata; Mammalia; Artiodactyla; Phocoenidae. The record is from RNAcentral.